Molecule: transfer RNA, 72 nt
Filed under: Camelus bactrianus (Bactrian camel)
Lineage: Eukaryota; Metazoa; Chordata; Mammalia; Artiodactyla; Camelidae
Also listed under: 2 other names
Rfam family: tRNA
About the family: Transfer RNA (tRNA) molecules are approximately 80 nucleotides in length. Their secondary structure includes four short double-helical elements and three loops (D, anti-codon, and T loops).
Source: Rfam by way of RNAcentral
GAGGGUAUAGAUCAAUGGUAGAGCACAUGCUUAGCAUGCACAUGGUCCUGGGUUCAAUCCCCAGUAGCUCCU